GAUGAACGCUGGCGGCGUGCCUAAUACAUGCAAGUUGAGCGCUGAAGGUUGGUACUUGUACCGACUGGAUGAGCAGCGGACGGGUGAGUAACGCGUGGGUAACCUGCCUUUGAGCGGGGGACAACAUUUGGAAACGAAUGCUAAUACCGCAUAAUAACUUUAAACACAAGGUUUAAGAUUGAAAGAUGCAAUUGCAUCACCCAAAGAUGAUCUCGCGUCGCAUUAGCUAGUUGGUGAGGUAAAGGCUUACCAAGGCAACGAUGCAUAGCCGAACUGAGAGGGUGAUCGGCCACACUGGAACUGAGACACGGUACAGACUCCUACGGGAGGCAGCAGUAGGGAAUCUUACGCAAUGGGCGAAAGCUUGACGGAGCAACGCCGCGUGAGUGAUGAAGGUCUUCGGAUCGUAAAACUCUGUGAUUAGGGAAGAACAAAUGUGUAAGUAACUAUGCACGUCUGGACGGUACCUAAUCAGAAAGCCACGGCUAACUACGUG
RNAcentral lists this ribosomal RNA (496 nucleotides) under uncultured bacterium. RNAcentral's name for it is "partial 16S ribosomal RNA". It matches the Rfam family "Bacterial small subunit ribosomal RNA", at positions 28 to 507 of the family's 1533-position model. The record is from RNAcentral.